AAGUCGUAACAAGGUUUCCGUAGGUGAACCUGCGGAAGGAUCAUUAACACGUAUCCAACGUUAAAAACCCCGUGCAUUUUAACCCUGCUCUCCUCACCUCGACAAGCAAUCUCUGGUAAAUCACCACGAACAGUUUGAUUCAGAGACCUCUUCAAGACGUGUGGAUGGAGCGGUAGAGCAAAUAGACCUGGUUUCCGAAAGGAUAACUGAUACUUACUCAGAUCGUUGACCCUCACGGUCAGCGGACAGGUCUCUGGGGCUUCGGCUCCCCUUAUUAAACCCGUAUGUGAAAGUCGGGCUUGCAAACUACAGGCCCACAAAACGAACAACUGUUAACAAUGGAUAUCUUGGUUCUC
RNAcentral lists this unclassified non-coding RNA (356 nucleotides) under fungal sp. Its description in RNAcentral is "partial internal transcribed spacer region". The stretch from base 1 to 46 matches the Rfam family "Eukaryotic small subunit ribosomal RNA", at positions 1786 to 1831 of the family's 1831-position model. The record is from RNAcentral. Lineage: Eukaryota; Fungi. RNAcentral also lists the same sequence under 1 other name.